RNAcentral lists this ribosomal RNA (513 nucleotides) under uncultured bacterium. Its description in RNAcentral is "partial 16S ribosomal RNA". It matches the Rfam family "Bacterial small subunit ribosomal RNA", at positions 28 to 523 of the family's 1533-position model. The record is from RNAcentral.
GACGAACGCUGGCGGCAUGCCUAAUACAUGCAAGUCGAGCGAACAGAUGAAGUGCUUGCACUUCUGACGUUAGCGGCGAACGGGUGAGUAACACGUAAGGAAUCUACCUAUAAGCGGGGGAUAACAUUCGGAAACGGGUGCUAAUACCGCAUAAUAUCUUCUUCCGCAUGGAAGAAGAUUGAAAGACGGCUCUGCUGUCACUUAUAGAUGACCUUGCGGUGCAUUAGUUAGUUGGUGGGGUGAUGGCCUACCAAGACGAUGAUGCAUAGCCGACCUGGGAGGGUGAUCGGCCACAUUGGGACUGAGACACGGCCCAAACUCCGACGGGAGGCAGCAGUAGGGAAUCUUCCGCAAUGGGCGAAAGCCUGACGGAGCAAUGCCGCGUGAGUGAAGAAGACCUUCGGGUCGUAAAACUCUGUUAUAAGAGAAGAACAAAUUGUAGAGUAACUGCUACAGUCUUGACGGUAUCUUAUCAGAAAGCCACGGCUAACUACGUGCCAGCAGCCGCCGUAA